RNAcentral lists this ribosomal RNA (271 nucleotides) under uncultured bacterium. Its description in RNAcentral is "partial 16S ribosomal RNA". It matches the Rfam family "Bacterial small subunit ribosomal RNA", at positions 524 to 794 of the family's 1533-position model. The record is from RNAcentral.
UACGAAGGGUGCAAGCGUUACUCGGAAUCACUGGGCGUAAAGCGCACGUAGGCGGCUUUCUAAGUCAGGGGUGAAAUCCUGGAGCUCAACUCCAGAACUGCCUUUGAUACUGGAAAGCUUGAGUUCGGGAGAGGUGAGUGGAACUGCGAGUGUAGAGGUGAAAUUCGUAGAUAUUCGCAAGAACACCAGUGGCGAAGGCGGCUCACUGGCCCGAUACUGACGCUGAGGUGCGAAAGCGUGGGGAGCAAACAGGAUUAGAAACCCCGGUAGU